ACAUCUAUAAUACUAAAAUUACGAGGUCCAAUUUGUCAGCCGUCAUCACGUAAUAACGACGAAUCAAAGAAUUCAACUUUAUAUAUAACUAAUAUAGUACAAAGGUGUAGAUUAAAAAUUACACCACUCAAGGCCCUUUUGUUUUCCACGUAAUUAAUAUUGCCAAUAAUUAAGAAGUUCCGAGUUGAGUCCGAUACCGAUACCAAUAG
RNAcentral lists this long non-coding RNA (209 nucleotides) under Mytilus galloprovincialis (Mediterranean mussel). Lineage: Eukaryota; Metazoa; Mollusca; Bivalvia; Mytilida; Mytilidae. The record is from RNAcentral.